GACGAACGCUGGCGGCGUGCUUAACACAUGCAAGUCGAACGGUGAAGGGACCGGUUUUUGCUGGUUCUGGAUGAGUGGCGAACGGGUGAGUAACACGUGAGUAACCUGCCCCCUUCUUCUGGAUAACCGCAUGAAAGUGUGGCUAAUACGGGAUAUUCUGCGCCUGCUGCAUGGUGGGUGUGGGAAAGAUAUUGUUUCGGUGGGGGAUGGGCUCGCGGCCUAUCAGCUUGUUGGUGGGGUGAUGGCCUACCAAGGCGGUGACGGGUAGCCGGCCUGAGAGGGUGGACGGUCACACUGGGAAUGAGACACGGCCCAGACUCCUACGGGAGGCAGCAGUGGGGAAUAUGGCACAAUGGGCGCAAGCCUGAUGCAGCGACGCCGCGGGAGGGAUGGAGGCCUGCGGGUUGUAAACCUCUUUCGCCAGUGAAGCAGGCCUGUCCCUUUUGUGGGUGGGUUGACGGUAGCUGGAUAAGAAGCGCCGGCUAACUACGUG
This 493-nucleotide ribosomal RNA is filed under the name uncultured bacterium. Its description in RNAcentral is "partial 16S ribosomal RNA". It matches the Rfam family "Bacterial small subunit ribosomal RNA", at positions 28 to 507 of the family's 1533-position model. The record is from RNAcentral.